This 574-nucleotide ribosomal RNA is filed under the name uncultured bacterium. Its description in RNAcentral is "bacterial SSU rRNA". It matches the Rfam family "Bacterial small subunit ribosomal RNA", at positions 102 to 663 of the family's 1533-position model. The record is from RNAcentral.
ACGGGUGAGUAACACGUGGAUAACCUACCUAUAAGACUGGGAUAACUUCGGGAAACCGGAGCUAAUACCAGAUAACAUGUUGAACCGCAUGGUUCAACAGUGAUAGACGGUCUUGCUGUCACUUAUAGAUGGAUCCGCGCCGCAUUAGCUAGUUGGUAAGGUAACGGCUUACCAAGGCAACGAUGCGUAGCCGACCUGAGAGGGUGAUCGGCCACACUGGAACUGAGACACGGUCCAGACUCCUACGGGAGGCAGCAGUAGGGAAUCUUCCGCAAUGGGCGAAAGCCUGACGGAGCAACGCCGCGUGAGUGAUGAAGGUCUUCGGAUCGUAAAACUCUGUUAUUAGGGAAGAACAAAUGUGUAAGUAACUAUGCACGUCUUGACGGCACCUAAUCAGAAAGCCACGGCUAACUACGUGCCAGCAGCCGCGGUAAUACGUAGGUGGCAAGCGUUAUCCGGAAUUAUUGGGCGUAAAGCGCGCGUAGGCGGUUUUUUAAGUCUGAUGUGAAAGCCCACGGCUCAACCGUGGAGGGUCAUUGGAAACUGGAAAACUUGAGUGCAGAAGAGGAAAGUG